Molecule: long non-coding RNA, 317 nt
Filed under: Gallus gallus (chicken)
Lineage: Eukaryota; Metazoa; Chordata; Aves; Galliformes; Phasianidae
Description: long non-coding RNA NONGGAT004593
Source: RNAcentral
UGGCAGGUUUGCAACUAUAAAGAAAGAAAUAUCGAAGAGGGAUUCUCUCCACAAAAGCCCAGAAUUUCAUGACUCUGACAUCUGAACAGCUGAAAAUGGACAAUGUGAUAUGGAUGUGUUCAGCUCAAUGCUCAGCACCUACUCCUGUACUUCAGCACCCUGCACGUGUCGUUCCAACAGAACUCUCAGAAAUAGUUUAAUAUACCAAUAAAAAGUUGCAGUGCCUGAGGAAGCAUUAAAAGGAGAGACCUGCUUUGUGUAUACCCAUGCAAAUGAUUUCCUUAGCAGGAUUUGCAUGCAGCCCUGUCUGCAAAAAC